RNAcentral lists this ribosomal RNA (94 nucleotides) under Escherichia coli 6-319-05_S3_C3. Its description in RNAcentral is "partial 23S ribosomal RNA". Lineage: Bacteria; Pseudomonadati; Pseudomonadota; Gammaproteobacteria; Enterobacterales; Enterobacteriaceae. The record is from RNAcentral.
GACGGUUGUUGCGCACGUAUUCGGUGAACGCACUAUGGCGACGCUGGGGCGUCUUAUGAGCCUGCUGUCACCCUUUGACGUGGUGAUAUGGAUG